This is a non-coding RNA of Gymnothorax javanicus (giant moray), 76 nucleotides long. Lineage: Eukaryota; Metazoa; Chordata; Actinopteri; Anguilliformes; Muraenidae. The record is from the annotation of a GenBank genome assembly.
GCCUGGAUCUUUGGCGACAUGGUCAGCGCGUUUGACUCUUACCCGAGAAUCUGGGGUUCAAUUCCCCGCCUGGGCC